GCGGAAGUGGUGAAAUUGGUAUACACGCUAUCUUGAGGGGGUAGUGCUCGUAAGGGCAUGCGGGUUCAAGUCCCGCUUUCCGCA
Molecule: transfer RNA, 84 nt
Filed under: Ignavibacteriota bacterium
Lineage: Bacteria; Pseudomonadati; Ignavibacteriota
Also listed under: 1 other name
Description: Ignavibacteriae bacterium (activated sludge metagenome) tRNA-Leu
Rfam family: tRNA
About the family: Transfer RNA (tRNA) molecules are approximately 80 nucleotides in length.
Source: RNAcentral